GCGUGCGCAGGCGGUUUGUAAGACUGUCGUGAAAUCCCCGGGCUCAACCUGGGAAUGGCGAUGGUGACUGCAAGGCUAGAGUUUGGCAGAGGGGGGGUAGAAUUCCACGUGUAGCAGUGAAAUGCGUAGAUAUGUGGAGGAACACCGAUGGCGAAGGCAGCCCCCUGGGUCAAAACUGACGCUCAUGCACGAAAGACGUGGGGAGGCAAACAGGAUUAGAUACCCCACGU
This 230-nucleotide ribosomal RNA is filed under the name uncultured bacterium. RNAcentral describes it as "partial 16S ribosomal RNA". It matches the Rfam family "Bacterial small subunit ribosomal RNA", at positions 565 to 792 of the family's 1533-position model. The record is from RNAcentral.